UCAGUAACACGUGGCCAAACUACCCUGUCGAUCGGGACACCCUCGGGAAACUGAGGCUAAUCCCGGAUACGGCUCGCUGCCUGGAGGUGGCGCGAGUUCGAAACGUUCAGGCGCGACAGGAUGUGGCUGCGGCCGAUUAGGUAGACGGUGGGGUAACGGCCCACCGUGCCGAUAAUCGGUACGGGUUGUGAAAGCAAGAGCCCGGAGACGGAAUCUGAGACAAGAUUCCGGGCCCUACGGGGCGCAGCAGGCGCGAAACCUUUACACUGCACGCGAGUGCGAUAGGGGGACUCCAAGUGCGAGGGCAUACAGUCCUCGCUUUUCACCACCGUAAGGAGGUGGUAGAAUAAGUGCUGGGCAAGACCGGUGCCAGCCGCCGCGGUAAUACCGGCAGCACGAGUGAUGACCGCUAUUAUUGGGCCUAAAGCGUCCGUAGCCGGCCGGGCAAGUCCAUCGGGAAAUCCGCACGCCUAACGUGCGGGCGUCCGGUGGAAACUGCUCGGCUUGGGACCGGAAGAUCCAGAGGGUACGUCCGGGGUAGGAGUGAAAUCCCGUAAUCCUGGACGGACCACCGGUGGCGAAAGCGCUCUGGAAAGACGGAUCCGACGGUGAGGGACGAAAGCUUGGGUCACGAACCGGAUUAGAUACCCGGGUAGUCCAAGCUGUAAACGAUGUCUGCUAGGUGUGGCACAGG
Molecule: ribosomal RNA, 694 nt
Filed under: halophilic archaeon
Lineage: Archaea; Methanobacteriati; Methanobacteriota; Halobacteria; Halobacteriales
Description: bacterial SSU rRNA
Rfam family: Archaeal small subunit ribosomal RNA
Source: RNAcentral